This 708-nucleotide long non-coding RNA is filed under the name Cucumis sativus (cucumber). RNAcentral describes it as "long non-coding RNA (CSAT_LNC002245)". The record is from RNAcentral. Lineage: Eukaryota; Viridiplantae; Streptophyta; Magnoliopsida; Cucurbitales; Cucurbitaceae.
CAUAUCAAACAGUCUGCUAUGUAUUGUGCAAUUACGUAAAAAAUGAGAAAAACCAAAGGAAAAAAAAUCUAGUACAUAAUUCUAUCCACAAAAAUAACUUGCUAUUUACAAACCAAUAAUGGUAAAAAAUAUGUUCCAAAAAUGUAAAAUUUUGGUGUGUACAAUCCUUGACUAACAGAUUCUUACUCCUGACCAACCUGAAAAAAUGUCACACACAAAAAUACUAGUCACUAACUUUGUUAAAUAAAACACAAAGACAUUAAUGAUAUUACAAACUGAAAGGAAGGAUGGCAUACCACUAUUGUUUAACCCAACGUCCACCCGUAUAUUAGAAGAAAUGUAGGACAACGGUUAUAAGGUUAAAAAAAAUUAGAUUGGUCCAGCCUCAAGGUAAGAAAUUCAUUAGUUUAGUCAAAUUUGAAUUUCUUUUAUAAUGGACAACAUUUGGGCACCAAUCAAUUAGAAAGCAAAGAUGAGUUCAAAAUAAAGAGGACAUAAUUUGCAUACAAACAGAACAAAUAGAACACACACACACACAAAAAGAUUGGUUUAGCCUUAUUGAGUUCUAAACAAUUGUAAAGUAAAGAUGGGUGCAAAAAGAGAGGAUAGGAAGUUCAUAUACAAUUGUUUGCAUACAAAACAAUUGGAAAGCAAACAUGAGUGCAAAAAAAAAAAAAAAACAUACCAAGGAAUGAUCAUCAAACAAAG